Molecule: small nuclear RNA, 113 nt
Organism: Synchiropus splendidus (mandarinfish)
Lineage: Eukaryota; Metazoa; Chordata; Actinopteri; Syngnathiformes; Callionymidae
Product: U5 spliceosomal RNA
Exons: 1
Source: RefSeq, a predicted model, not a curated record
UGCUCAUGUUUCUCUUUAGAUCGUAUAAAUCUUUUGCCUUUUACUAAAGAUUUCCGUGGAGAGAAACAAUAUGAGUUUUUCCAAAUGUUUUAAUGCCCUGCUCUUGUAGGACU